GACGAACGCUGGCGGCGUGCUUAACACAUGCAAGUCGAACGGAAAGGCCCUGCUUUUGUGGGGUGCUCGAGUGGCGAACGGGUGAGUAACACGUGAGUAACCUGCCCUUUACUUUGGGAUAACUUCAGGAAACUGGGGCUAAUACCGGAUAGGAGCUCCUGCUGCAUGGUGGGGGUUGGAAGGUUUCGGCGGCUGGGGAUGGACUCGCGGCUUAUCAGCUUGUUGGUGGGGUAGUGGCUUACCAAGGCUUUGACGGGUAGCCGGCCUGAGAGGUUGACCGGCCACAUUGGGACUGAGAUACGGCCCAGACUCCUACGGGAGGCAGCAGGGGGGAAAAUUGCAAAAUGGGCGGAAGCCUGAUGCAGCAACGCCGCGUGCGGGAUGACGGCCUUAGGGUUGUAAACCGCUUUCGCCUGUGACGAAGCGUGAGUGACGGUAAUGGGUAAAGAAGCACCGGCUAACUACGUG
Molecule: ribosomal RNA, 468 nt
Filed under: uncultured bacterium
Lineage: Bacteria
Description: partial 16S ribosomal RNA
Rfam family: Bacterial small subunit ribosomal RNA
Source: RNAcentral